CCUACGGGUGGCAGCAGUGGGGAAUAUUGGGCAAUGGGCGCAAGCCUUACCCAGCAAUACCGCGUGAGUGAAGAAGGUCUUCGGAUUGUAAAGCUCUUUGAUCAGGGACGAACAGAUGACGGUACCUGAAGAACAAGCCCCGGCUAACUACGUGCCAGCAGCCGCGGUAAAACGUAGGGGGCGAGCGUUGUCCGGAUUUACUGGGUGUAAAGGGGGCGCAGACGGCGAUGCAAGCCAGGAGUGAAAGCCCGGGGCCCAACCCCGGGACUGCUCUUGGAACUGCGUGGCUGGAGUGCAGGAGGGGCAGGCGGAAUGCCUGGUGUAGCGGUGAAAUGCGUAGAUAUCAGGAGGAACACCGGUGGCGAAGGCGGCCUGCUGGACUGCAACUGACGUUGAGGCCCGAAAGCGUGGGGAGCAAACAGGAUUAGAUACCCGGGUAGUC
RNAcentral lists this ribosomal RNA (442 nucleotides) under uncultured bacterium. RNAcentral's name for it is "partial 16S ribosomal RNA". It matches the Rfam family "Bacterial small subunit ribosomal RNA", at positions 338 to 795 of the family's 1533-position model. The record is from RNAcentral.